GAUCCAAGUUCUUUCGAUUAGUCGGAAUGUGUACCUCAUGGCUGGUCUAAGGUCGGGCUGGGAAGAAAUGUUCCGAGGGCUAAAAGUGAUGAUUUGCCUGAGGAGGCUCUAGCUCGUCUAGCGUACCAAUUUCCUAGUGUUGGUGGCUCGAUGUCUAGCCUCGUAGUGGAUUGGGACACUACUAGUCCCAACCAACCCUCAGAUGUUUAGGCACGGGUCAAAAAUACAUAAACCUUGGUUGCUUGACUGAUUACGAUCACAUGGAAGUGGGACAUGAAACACAUGCGUUUUAGGACACCAUGAUGUUACUUAUUCAAGCAUGUCUUUUGGAUCGCUAUUGUGGGGGUCUUGUUCGAGGACGGAUCCUGCACAGAGAUAACUGACCAUUUCCCUGCUAUGUGAACUUCAUCAAAUAGGUCAUGCCAAACAUUCUCCUGCAUGCACUGAAUGUUUCUCUUGAGGAUUCUGAGCAAGUGUUUUAGUAGAUCUUUUAACCUAUUAGUUUGGAAGUAUACAUCAUAUGUUUCCUUGCUUGAAUGUUGAAUCCUAACUUUCGUGCUCUUUAAUGAAGAAUUUAAGUUCAUCUAUAUUCUCUAAUCUGAUAUGUUUCCUUGCUGAGAGCUAAUGUUG
This 630-nucleotide small RNA is filed under the name Malus domestica (apple). Its description in RNAcentral is "sRNA MD11G0256100". Lineage: Eukaryota; Viridiplantae; Streptophyta; Magnoliopsida; Rosales; Rosaceae. The record is from RNAcentral.